RNAcentral lists this ribosomal RNA (960 nucleotides) under uncultured organism. RNAcentral describes it as "bacterial SSU rRNA". It matches the Rfam family "Bacterial small subunit ribosomal RNA", at positions 470 to 1428 of the family's 1533-position model. The record is from RNAcentral.
UGACGGUACCCUACUAGAAAGGAGCCGCUAACUUCGUGCCAGAAGCGUCGGUAAUACGGGGGCUCCAAGCGUUAUCCGGUGUUAUUGGGCGUAAAGAGUCGUGUAGGUGGUUGGGUAAGUUAUCUUUCAAAUAUCUUUGCUUAACAAAGAGGAGGGGGAUAAUACUGCUCGACUAGAAUUUUCUCAAGGGAGAUCGGAACUGAGGGAGGAGUAGUGAAAUGCGUUGAUACCCUCGGGAACACCAGUGGCGUAGGCGGAUCUCUGGGAGAAGAUUGACACUGAGACACGAAAGCUAGGGGAGCGAAGCAGAUUAGAGACCUGCGUAGUCCUAGCCGUAAACGCAUGCUUGCUAGCUGCAUGAAUCUACCUUCGGGUGGUAUCGUGUGGCGAAGGUAACCCGUUAAGCAAGCCGCCUGGAAAGUACGGCCGCAAGGCUGAAAUUCAAAGGAAUUGGCGGGGAGGCACACAACCAGUGGAACAUGUGGUUUAAUUCGAGACUAACCGAAGAACCUCACCAGGGUUUGACAUGUAGCUGCACGUCUUAAGAAAUUAAGACUCUCUUGAAGGUGCUACACAGGUGCUGCAUGGCUGUCGUCAGCUCGUUCCGUGAGGAGUGCCCUUAAGUGGGACAACGAGCGCAACCCCUAUUACAUGUUAGAAAUGUCAUGUAAGACUGCCUUGCCAUUUGGCGGGGAGGAAGGAGGGGCAGACGUCAAGUCCGCAUGGUCCUUAUGCCCUGGGCUACACACAUGUUACAAUGAGUACGGCAAUGAGUCUGUCGCGAGCACGUAAGUGUAAGCUAAUCUCUUAAAUGUACUCUCAGUGGGGAUUGAGGUCUGCAACUCGACCUCAUGAACACGGAAUUGGUAGUAAUCGCGGGUCAGCUAUACCGCGGGAAUACGUUCUUGCCUCUUGCACACACCGCCCGUCAAACCAGCAAAGUCGAUUGUAUCCGAACCU